This 189-nucleotide ribosomal RNA is filed under the name Lactobacillus delbrueckii. Its description in RNAcentral is "partial 16S ribosomal RNA". It matches the Rfam family "Bacterial small subunit ribosomal RNA", at positions 1348 to 1533 of the family's 1533-position model. The record is from RNAcentral. Lineage: Bacteria; Bacillati; Bacillota; Bacilli; Lactobacillales; Lactobacillaceae.
CGUAGCCGCCGCGGUGAUACGUUCCCGGGCCUUGUACACACCGCCCGUCACACCAUGGAAGUCUGCAAUGCCCAAAGUCGGUGGGAUAACCUUUAUAGGAGUCAGCCGCCUAAGGCAGGGCAGAUGACUGGGGUGAAGUCGUAACAAGGUAGCCGUAGGAGAACCUGCGGCUGGAUCACCUCCUUUCUA